AACAAAUAAUUUGGAAUAUUUAUUUUAUUUAAAUUAAUAUUUUUUAUAUAUAUAAAUAAAAAAUUAAAUUUAUAAGGUCAAAUUUAAAAUUUAAUUAAUAAUUUUUUAUAAAUUUUAUGAAUUUUAUAAAAAUAAAAUUAAAACUAGGAUUAGAUACCCUAUUAUAUUAUUUAAAUUUUAAAUAAAAGAAGUAAUUGUUAAAAUCAAUAAAUUUAAUAAAAAUGGCAGUAUUUUAAUCUAUUUAGAGGAAUUUGUUUAAUAAUUGAUAAUCCACGAAUAAUUUUACUUAAUUUAUUAAAUUUGUAUAUCGUUGUUAUAAAAAUUUAUUUUAUAAUAUAAAAUUUUAAAAUUUUAAAAGAUAAUUAUAUCAAAUCAAGAUAUAGUUUAUAAUUAAGAAUGUAAUGAAUUAUAAUAAAAAAAUUUUUGAAAAUUAAUAUGAAAAAUUAGUAGAAUUUAGAUUUAAAUGUAAUUUUUUUUAGUUUAAAAAAAUGAUUUAGUUUUAAAAUA
This 507-nucleotide ribosomal RNA is filed under the name Helicopsyche sp. MT-2021. RNAcentral's name for it is "partial 12S ribosomal RNA". Lineage: Eukaryota; Metazoa; Arthropoda; Insecta; Trichoptera; Helicopsychidae. The record is from RNAcentral.